CAGAGCAACAGAUAUCCGUGUAAUCAAAUCGGCUACGCAAGGGGCGCAUUGGAGAGCCAAACCCCUCCGCAAGCCAAAUUUAUACAAAUGGGCCUCUUUUGUUCACAGGAUACAAUGCAGCUGCUCAAUUUACUACUGCACGCCAAACGGAUAAAGAACCACGAAUGCACUGAGGUGUAGAAGCUGUAUGAAGUAUCUCACUGGGUGUCGUCAUGCAGCUAGCCAUAAUCCCCGAUGUCUGCCGUCACCAAGCUGACCACUGACCUGGGCGAGGGCGUGUGUGGGUGCCAGGUGGCCUGUUGUCAUGCAACACACAAUGGCUGCAGACAGCUGCAGUCAAGAAACUAACUACGUUCACCAGCUAAAGAUGAUUCAUCAGACAGAGUCGAGGUGGUGAACCACCGGGUGGGAGCAGCCUCGUAAGUGCGUCUGUUGAUGUGGGCUCCAACAGCAUGAUCACUGUCCUGAUUAGCUGCUGCAUCUAUCACUGGGUGUUUGGACGGGACCAACGGCUCUGCUGAUGGACAUGGGGUCACUCCCCUGAGCA
RNAcentral lists this long non-coding RNA (547 nucleotides) under Scophthalmus maximus (turbot). RNAcentral's name for it is "lncRNA (ENSSMAG00000031525.1)". The record is from RNAcentral. Lineage: Eukaryota; Metazoa; Chordata; Actinopteri; Pleuronectiformes; Scophthalmidae.